AUUAAACUGUGAACACCACCUUAAAUAGUUUAUAAUGUAUUUAGCAUGUAUUACACAGUAAGGUGUAAUUUUAGAAUAUAUAUGUUAUGACAUUUUUAAAGUUCAAAGAUAUAAUUGGAACUUUUUCUCCCUAAAGAUGUAAGAGAUCUGAGCCUCAGAAGUACAAAGUGAUAAUUAACAUUAUUCUCUGAUUUAAUUAGAGGGGGACAUCCAUACCUGACUGGGCUGGCAGUGGCUGGAGGAGCAUAUUACCUUGGGCUAGAAGGAGCCAUUAUUGGGCCCAUUCUUCUUUGUGUAUUGGUUGUUGCCUCAAACAUCUAUAGUGCAAUGUUAGUAAGUCCCUCAUCGACAUUGCCUACACCUUCAACAACACCAUGGCCAUUACAUGUACAACGGCCAUUUAGGGAAAAUCUUCAGGAGAUGAAGCAAUCAGAUGAGUGAUAGACUUGGAGAAGUUGUCACAUCUUUCAUUCACCUCAGGAGCUGUGGCCUUUUAAUUCCUUUAUGGUGUAUCUUGUCAUGUGUGUGACACCAGCCUUCACCUACAAGGUUCUACAAGGUUGCCUUUUAUACCAACUUCACUGAAGAGAUCCAACAUACAGUACACGUCAAUCUCUGUCCUGUUUUUCAUUGAAAGUGAUACUCUUAAAACAACAGUCAAGCAGAACCACUGCAGACCCUGACUGCAAAUCAUAGAUAAGGUUUUCUGUGUAAAUUUAUUCUCUAUACCAAUUGUUUGCUUUUAUAGCAAUGAAAAGCAUAUUAGCAGAAAAACUUUCACAGAUAACUCUUUUUUAUUGGGCUCAAGAAUCUCACUAGUGAUAACUACUGACUAUUUGCAGCUUUUGUGGUAACUACAGUUACUUAUACACCAGUUCAGCCUUUUAAAUGGACAGUAAAUAUUUUUUGUAGGCACCUCAGGUAUGUAUUGCCUAAUAUAUCCAUCUUACUUUAUCAAUUUUCUAGGGUAUUUUUAGCCCCUCCCUCCUUGUGCUUGAAUGAUAUAGCCAAUCAGAUGCCAUGCUGCCUCCACAAUUGAGAAUAAAUGGAGUGCACGCAUGGCUGCUAAGCAUAGUGGUUGUGCAUCUCUGUUCAUUUAUAUUUUAGGAGCUGGGAGCAUGCCCCGUUACAGUUUGAAGGACAGCUGCAUGACAGCAGUUGGACCAUCCUAAUUUUUUUUUCUAAACUUUAAAAAAAAAAAAAAAAAAAUAUUGAAAGGUUAGCUGGAAGUGUGUCUACUAAGCAAGCACCCAAGGCUGUGCUAAAAAAUAUAUAUUAGAAAAUGAUUUAUACAAUAAGACUACAUUGGACAAUGCAGUCCUGCAAAAAUGUUUGCCAUACGUUAAAGCAUUUGUAUCCGUUGUGCUCACCUUUUGAAUGACCAUGUUACUCAUAAUAGCAAUACACAGUUCUGCAAAAGCAUUUGAAAAGUUUAAACAUAAAUGUAUUUACUACCACUUGCAUAUUUGUUCCAUUGCCAAUUAAAUAGCACUUUAAGCAUUUUCAAAUGCAAAUGUUUUCUUUUGAUACUUUUUCAUGAGAUGUAAUUUACUUAGUUUUGUACAAUAUGUUAGUAUUUAGUAGAGGCAGGAUUGUACAGUUUGUCUGAAUUAUAUUUAGUGCAUUGCUUGUUCUUGUAUUGCACUACCCUUAAGCAUUGAAGUGUUGUCUCAUUAAAAACAAAAAUGCCCAGGAGCUAAGCUAUCUCAAAUGUGACAUUAGGUAACAUCUGGUAUAAUAGCUACAUUUUGUAAGGAUAUCGAUCACAGCACCAAAAUGUAUUUCUAUUUUGUUCACUAAUAAAAAUGUGUUAUUUAAAGCAA
Molecule: long non-coding RNA, 1823 nt
Organism: Bombina bombina (fire-bellied toad)
Lineage: Eukaryota; Metazoa; Chordata; Amphibia; Anura; Bombinatoridae
Exons: 2
Source: RefSeq, a predicted model, not a curated record